Molecule: transfer RNA, 97 nt
Filed under: Pseudomonas agarici
Lineage: Bacteria; Pseudomonadati; Pseudomonadota; Gammaproteobacteria; Pseudomonadales; Pseudomonadaceae
Description: tRNA-OTHER
Source: RNAcentral
GGAGAGUGGCGCCCAAUGUUUGUUUGACCUGAAAACGGAUUCGAAAUCCGUUGUACCUUCACCGGUACCUAGGGUUCGAAUCCCUAUCUCUCCGCCA